CGCCUUUUCAGCAGAGUCAAAGUUAAAUGCCGUCCCCCCAUGGGUGAAAUGCAACAUGGCCAGGUAUCUCAUGGAGUAUUGGAUGUUUAAGUUCCUUAAUUCUUUUUUAACAUCAUCAAAUGUUCUUCUCCUCUUGACCAGGGCUCCUGAAAAAUCUUGAAAAAACAUUAUCUUUGAACCUUUAUACAUUAAGACUUGCGAGUUCUUUCCCAAUCUUCUUGCUGCUUCCACUAUUAAUUUUUUUUCUUUAUAAUACAGGAGCUGCACUAGGACCAUACAGGGGCGCUGCUCCAGCCAGGCCCUGCGUGUUGUGAUCCAAUAGGCCUGCUCCACACCUACCAGGCCCAACUGCAAUUCUAACUGCAGGAACUUCGGGAGCCAUCCGUGCAGGAAACCAGUGAGAUCUUCGCAUUCUUCAUGUUCCGGGAGGCCCAUGAUCCUGCUAGAAUCCAGAAUUUUAUCUGAAAAUGUUACUCUGAAUCCUUCCCUGGAUCGAUUACAAACACUUUUCCCAACAGAACGUAGAGAGGAGCGAGAUGGUCUCUGCCAGAAUACACAGAUGAUAAUGGAGGCCGACUACUAAAAGAUUCUUGAUGAUCAC
Non-coding RNA from Chiloscyllium plagiosum (whitespotted bambooshark), 601 nucleotides. Lineage: Eukaryota; Metazoa; Chordata; Chondrichthyes; Orectolobiformes; Hemiscylliidae. The record is from RefSeq and is a predicted model, not a curated record.